GCACUACUGAGGAGUCCCACCACAGGACGAAACGGCCGUCCAGUAC
Non-coding RNA from Schistosoma mattheei, 46 nucleotides. NCBI's taxonomy places the organism in Eukaryota, Metazoa, Platyhelminthes, Trematoda, Strigeidida, Schistosomatidae. The record is from Rfam.